This 1234-nucleotide ribosomal RNA is filed under the name metagenome. Its description in RNAcentral is "bacterial LSU rRNA". It matches the Rfam family "Bacterial large subunit ribosomal RNA", at positions 1564 to 2808 of the family's 2925-position model. The record is from RNAcentral.
UGAAUACGAGAUGCUACGGCGUCGAAGCAGUCUAUGUCAUACUUCCAAGAAAAGCUUGCACUGUCAUAAACAAAUAAUGCCUGUACCAUAACCGACACAGGUGGGUAGGUAGAGUAUACUAAGGGGCGCGAGAUAACUCUCUCUAAGGAACUCGGCAAAAUGACUCCGUAACUUUGGGAGAAGGAGUGCCUUAUUUAUAAGGUUGCAAUAACAAGAUCCAAGCAACUGUUUACCAAAAACACAGGUCUCCGCUAAGUCGUAAGACGAUGUAUGGGGGCUGACGCCUGCCCAGUGCCAGAAGGUUAAAGAAGUUGGUUAGCAUCCGCGAAGCUGAUAACUGAAGCCCUGGUGAACGGCGGCCGUAACAAUAACGGUCCUAAGGUAGCGAAAUUCCUUGUCGGGUAAGUUCCGACCCGCACGAAAGGCGUAAUGAUUUGGAUACUGUCUCGGAGAGGGGCUCGGUGAAAUAGACUUGUCUGUGAAGAUGCGGACUACCUGCACCAGGACAGAAGGACCCUAUGAAGCUUUACUGUAACCUGAAAUUGAAAUUGGACUUUACCUGCGCAGUAUAGGUGGGAGGCGUUGAGAAUAUUCUUGCGGGAUUAUUGGAGCCAUCAGUGAGAUACCACUCUUGUAAUGUUAGAUUUCUAACUUUGUAUCAUUAUCUGGUCAAAGAACAGUUUCAGGCGGGCAGUUUGACUGGGGCGGUCGCCUCCUAAACGGUAACGGAGGCGCACAAAGGUUUCCUCUGAACGGGUAGAAAUCGUAUCUAGAGUGUAAAGGCAUAAGGAAGCUUGACUGUGAGACCUACAAGUCGAGCAGGGACGAAAGUCGGUCUUAGUGAUCUGACGGUGCUGAGUGGAAAGGCCGUCACUCAACGGAUAAAAGUUACUCUAGGAUAACAGGCUGAUCUCCCCCAAGAGUUCACAUCGACGGGGAGGUUUGGCACCUCGAUGUCGGCUCAUCGCAUCCUGGGGCGGUAGUACGUCCCAAGGGUUGGGCUGUUCGCCCAUGAAAGCGGUACGCGAGCUGGGUUCAGAACGUCGUGAGACAGUUCGGUCCAUAUCCGGUGUAGGCGUUAGAAUAUUGAGAGGAGCCUUCUUUAGUACGAGAGGACCGAGAAGGACAUACCUCUGGUGUACCAGUUAUCGUGCCAACGGUAAACGCUGGGUAGCUAUGUGUGGAGUGGAUAACCGCUGAAAGCAUCUAAGUGGGAAGCCCACCUCAAGAUAAG